This is a long non-coding RNA of Epinephelus fuscoguttatus (brown-marbled grouper), 274 nucleotides long. RefSeq lists it as uncharacterized. The record is from RefSeq and is a predicted model, not a curated record. NCBI's taxonomy places the organism in Eukaryota, Metazoa, Chordata, Actinopteri, Perciformes, Serranidae. The transcript is spliced from 4 exons.
CCUCUGUGACAGUAAACUCUCAGUGAAAAACCACCACCUGUUCAGUAGAAGAAAUGCUGAAAAUGUCUUUAAAGUCAAGGAAGUUUCUGGAGCCAUGCUGUGAGUCUUCUAUGAAAAAACAGAGGGCAACAGCACCCUGAGGAGCUGCUCAGCUGUUCACUAUUGCCUAUUAAACACAAUGAAGCUGGGACACUGGUGGCAUAAUGAGCAGGGGCCCACGUAUAUCGAGCCUAUGUGAGGCUUAGAAAAGCUGGACAACACUGCAGAGGAGGCG